CGGCGGCGCCGUGAGCCAUGGAGGGAUGCUCAUGCCACCGUCCUCCACGCAUCUCCUCUAAGGAUGGGACAGAAGGCUUGUCCGUCGGCAUUGCCGGCGCGGCUCCCCGCCAUGUGCCGCCCGCCAUGUGAGGCCAUCGUUUGUCUGCAGCCAUUGGAGUGGACGGUGGAGUGUCUCAGAGGAAGGCGCCUCGCCAGAUUGGAAGAGGGCUUAGUGUGUGAACCUGAUGAAUGUCGCACCCUUGCAGUCAGGUUUUUUCCCUGGAAUCACAUUUUUGAUACGAGAUCUGGUAGAUGAAGGAUUUGGUUGAGUUGCAGGGAGUGAGAUGCUGGGGCGCAGGGAUACUGCACUUGACAUGGCCAAGUCUGUCUACACGGAUGUCCAUGUGAAGCUCACUGAUGGCCGGCAAGAAAACUACACUAUUGGUCUCCAGGGCUUCCUUGUCUUCAACGCUGUUGGAGGUGGAACUUGCUCUGGCCUUGGUUCUCUUCUCCUUGAGCAGCUCUUUGUUGACUGUGGAAUAAAUUCCAAGCUUGAGUUCACUUGUGUGUCCUCACUCUCUCAUUGAACACACUUAUGUGGUUGUUCUUAACAAUGAGGCCAUCUAUGCCAUCUGCCUCUGGUCCCUUGAUAUUGAGCGCCCAACCUACACCAACCUGAACAUGCUUAUGUCUCAGGUCAUAUCAUCAUUGGCUUCUCCUCUGGGGCUUGAUGGUGUUCUCAGUAUUGAUGUCAAUGACCUCCAAACCAAUCUGGUGUCCUACCAAGUAUCCACUUCGUGCUUUCCUCGUAUACGCGCAAUUUAGGUACCUCCGCUGGAAUACUAGAGGCGAUGGCACUAAAGUCUUGAUCAAAGGUCAAUGAUGCGCCCCUGGAAUCGUUCCGUGCCUGGCUGCUAAUUGGUGUAUUUUCCUUGUAUUCCAAGGACGCGGUGCUGAUGUUGUUCCUCCAGAUGCGUAGUCGCUGCCACCGCAAGAAAGAUGAAAACAUACUGCUGCUAGGUUACUCCACACGCCCUGUAUGCCGGUCAAUGGUGCGCCCCUGGGAUCGUUUCGUGCCUGACUGCUAAUUGAUGUAUUUUCCUUGUAUGAAUGACAAGAUGUUGGUGCUGUUCCUCCAGAUGCGCCGUCGCUGCCACCGCGAGAAAGAUCCCGACUGCUGCUGCUAGUUGACCCCCCAUGCUGAUGUGCACUGCUCAAUCUACUAUGCACCUUUGUUGAUUGCGAUAAUUUCAAGUAGUGCCCACUUCCCCUCGACAAGAAAUGCAUUGCAGAAGUAAUAGUAACUGGACAAGCUUUAAAAAAGAUGUUUGUUGAUGCAUACCACACGGUAUAUAUAAGCGUUGUAGUAGCUUUAGUGCAUUUUAAUGAUUGUUCAUCUUUGCGAUUGUAUUGAGUUUC
Molecule: RNA transcript, 1400 nt
Organism: Lolium rigidum
Lineage: Eukaryota; Viridiplantae; Streptophyta; Magnoliopsida; Poales; Poaceae
Gene name: tubulin alpha-2 chain-like
Exons: 9
Source: RefSeq, a predicted model, not a curated record